This 631-nucleotide ribosomal RNA is filed under the name uncultured Actinomycetes bacterium. RNAcentral's name for it is "bacterial SSU rRNA". It matches the Rfam family "Bacterial small subunit ribosomal RNA", at positions 232 to 873 of the family's 1533-position model. The record is from RNAcentral. Lineage: Bacteria; Bacillati; Actinomycetota; Actinomycetes.
CGCGGCCUAUCAGCUUGUUGGUGAGGUAAUGGCUCACCAAGGCGUCGACGGGUAGCCGGCCUGAGAGGGUGACCGGCCACACUGGGACUGAGACACGGCCCAGACUCCUACGGGAGGCAGCAGUGGGGAAUAUUGCACAAUGGGCGCAAGCCUGAUGCAGCAACGCCGCGUGAGGGACGACGGCCUUCGGGUUGUAAACCUCUUUUAGCAGGGAAGAAGCGAAAGUGACGGUACCUGCAGAAAAAGCGCCGGCUAACUACGUGCCAGCAGCCGCGGUAAUACGUAGGGCGCAAGCGUUAUCCGGAAUUAUUGGGCGUAAAGAGCUCGUAGGCGGUUUGUCGCGUCUGCUGUGAAAUCCGGAGGCUCAACCUCCGGCCUGCAGUGGGUACGGGCAGACUAGAGUGCGGUAGGGGAGAUUGGAAUUCCUGGUGUAGCGGUGGAAUGCGCAGAUAUCAGGAGGAACACCGAUGGCGAAGGCAGAUCUCUGGGCCGUAACUGACGCUGAGGAGCGAAAGGGUGGGGAGCAAACAGGCUUAGAUACCCUGGUAGUCCACCCCGUAAACGUUGGGAACUAGUUGUGGGGUCCAUUCCACGGAUUCCGUGACGCAGCUAACGCAUUAAGUUCCCCGCC